RNAcentral lists this ribosomal RNA (229 nucleotides) under uncultured bacterium. RNAcentral's name for it is "partial 16S ribosomal RNA". It matches the Rfam family "Bacterial small subunit ribosomal RNA", at positions 568 to 796 of the family's 1533-position model. The record is from RNAcentral.
UGCGUAGGCGGGUUAAUAAGUCAGUGGUGAAAGACUGCAGCUUAACUGUAGAAUUGCCAUUGAUACUGUUAACCUUGAGUAUAGUUGAGGUGGGCGGAAUGUGUCAUGUAGCGGUGAAAUGCUUAGAUAUGACACAGAACACCGAUUGCGUAGGCAGCUCACUAAACUAUUACUGACGCUGAGGCACGAAAGCGUGGGGAGCGAACAGGAUUAGAUACCCUGGUAGUCC